GCGUAUGUAUAUCCAUUUGUUUGGCACGACAAAAAACAUGUCACGCGAACGUGUCCACAAUUAGUAACGCUUUAUUAUUAUUAAGAAAAGUUUGGCCGAAGUUGCACGAAUGCAUACUCCGAUUUUGUUUUUAGAAUCGUAAUUAUGCCAUGCAAACGUGUCCACAAUCACGAUUGUACAUUAAACGUGCCUAAUGCAGAUUACUGAUAUCAUUUUUAAUAUCUAAGUCAUAGAAUUAAUACGAGGGUCAUGAAUGAUUAAAUUGUGAAUGGCACACCUCGGACUAUAUAAACUAAAUUUAAUUUUAGCAGGCCUAAAGGAUUUUCUACGAAUAUUCAUUAUUAAAAGCUCUUUUACAAAAUUUGUGAGGGCCAUUGGAGUUUAAUUAAGAUGGUACACCUCAAUAAUAAAAAUAAAAACUUGUAUCGAAAUAGGGCGAAUUAUGGAUGCUUAGAUUUAAACUAAAUCCAAUCUACAACUACUAAUUUACAGCAUGCAUGAGAUAAUUGCUAGGCACUAAACUAUUUUAACAAAGGCUUGGUCCAACAGAUAAGUCCCUUGAGCCAUGAAAAUUAGAGGACCAUGAAUAUGAAAAUCGAAAGGGGAACUGGGCCUCGGAAGCAAAUCCAAAAAUGAAAGAAAAGGGCCUGAGACAUACGAGCCUGGCCCAGUCUCAUUUGGGCCAUUUAACAGGCCUAGCCGCUUUUAAAGGAUGCCACUAAGCAUCUUUACCAUUCGGGAUACCUUAUUCAGCAGCGCUUCAAUUAUUUUGUAUGCCAUGAGUAAUUCAAACACUAAUCUAAACUAAUCUAAACCAAUUUCAACAAAUCAACUGGAAGAUGCUCAUCAUCUAAUCUAGAUCCAUACUAUAGAAAAUUCAAACACCAUAUACUCAACAACAUGAUUCUUUUUAUAGCAAAACCAAAAACCAACAUAAUAAGCUAAAUUUCUAAUCCAAACUUGAAAACGAUAUAUAGCAUCGAUAAUGUAAAUGAGCAAAAGCAGACAUAAUGUAAAGCUAACUCAAUACAAAAUUUAGACAAAACUUUAAGACCACAUGAAUGAACUUUCAGCAAAGCUAAUUUUCAUCCUUAAUUUUCCACACUUCAUUAUACUUAGUUAUAACAAUAUGAAACAUUCUCAAAAUCCAGCAAGUCCUAGUAAAUCCGUGUAAACUACUAUACAUGGAUUGGAUGAUGCUAAAUGACCAUUGACAUGAAUAUUGGAUUCAAGCUAAUGUCCUGAUUCAAAGUAUGUUCUAAAGAAAACAGAAGAGCUAACAAAAUAAAUUGCAUCUUAUUAUUACAAAAAACUAAAUAGAGCAUGUUAUACAUCUUCAUUUCCCAUUCAGAGUUUCAUUAGAGUACUUGAAUAUAACAAAUAGAAUAAAUUGAGUCCUGAAGUCAUCAGAGAUGAAAGCAAGAACAGAAAUCCAACAGCAACAACAUAGCUUCCACAAUUAUCUUUAAACUCAGAUAAACCCUUCAGCCCAAAGCAUCUUUUAACAAACUUGGACAGCUGGCUUUACCUCAUUGGUUUCAGCAUUUUGUGCUGACCAAAUGAGGCCAGUUGCCCCCUAUUCUAGAACCUUCCAACAUGGUCUUUAUCAUAUUAUAUUUACCCCUCAUUCAAACAGACCCCUUAAGUUUUUUUUUGUUCAAUUAAACCCUAGAAAUGUCUACUGAUUUACAAAUUAAAGCAAACAUACACAAGCAGGCCAAUUGUCAUGUCCAAGUGGCCUAAGAAAAACCCAAGUUAGGGUCAAAUGGCCCAAAUCAGGCCCAAACCCGAUGCAACCUAGGCUUCGGUUGAACAUGUCCUCCUUAAAAAACCCAAAACGCAAAAUCAAAGUAAAAUUGUACAAACUAAACUGGCAAAAACCAAUCAACUGACAACUAAACUCAAUUAGACUAUCCUAAGCCCGAUUAUAAUUAACCUAAACAUGCUAAAAAUGAACUAAGAUUUAUUUUAUCAUGCAACAGAACCAGUGAAGAAAACACAAUCAACAAACGUAAUAUGGGAAUAUCAGUGAUAAAAUCCAAUUGAUACUAAAAGAAAAAAUAAAGGGGGAAAAGAUGAGAUUUUACCUUGUUUAACUCAGAAGAACAAAUAUAAAGAACUUAAAGGGAAUUGACGAAUUCUAGUUGGACUCUGGCAAGCUUGUCUGAAUCUGAUGUCCUUGGAAUGACUUAAAACUAUCAUCACUAGUUGCUCUUGUUUAGAGCAAUAUAUUAAUGUAAGAUUUAGGUCAAAAUGAGUUGGAAAAGUACAAAAAUCAGAAAAGGACAAGGACAAGGAAAUUCGAGUUUGACUUUUUUUAGGUUUCAGAUCUGAAAUUACGUGAAUUUGGCUAGGAUUUAAUGAAAACCAAUGAUAGAUUUGGGAAGAAAGGGGGAUGAGUAUUUAAUGGUGUUAAUCUAGGGGUGUUUGGAGUGUCUUCGCUGCCGUGGGCAAUUUUCGGCGGGUGGUUGACGGCGGAAACGGUAAGGAUAUUAGGCGGCUAAGGUUUCUAUUAGGUUUGGGGUUAGAGAUUGAUUUGGGGGGGGG
Molecule: long non-coding RNA, 2547 nt
Filed under: Nicotiana benthamiana
Lineage: Eukaryota; Viridiplantae; Streptophyta; Magnoliopsida; Solanales; Solanaceae
Description: long non-coding RNA (NBEN_LNC023435)
Source: RNAcentral